This 253-nucleotide ribosomal RNA is filed under the name uncultured bacterium. RNAcentral's name for it is "partial 16S ribosomal RNA". It matches the Rfam family "Bacterial small subunit ribosomal RNA", at positions 524 to 776 of the family's 1533-position model. The record is from RNAcentral.
UACGUAGGUGGCAAGCGUUGUCCGGAUUUACUGGGCGUAAAGAGCGCGCAGGCGGUCGUUUAAGUCGAAUGUGAAAGCCCCCGGCUCAACUGGGGAGGGUCAUUCGAUACUGAUCGACUUGAAGGCAGGAGAGGGAAGUGGAAUUCCGGGUGUAGUGGUGAAAUGCGUAGAUAUCCGGAGGAACACCAGUGGCGAAGGCGACUUCCUGGCCUGUUCUUGACGCUGAGGCGCGAAAGCUAGGGGAGCAAACGGG